UGUGUGUGUGUGUGUAUGUACAUAAUACCAACUAAGGUCCCUAACCUAUCCGUAUGGGACUAUUCCCGAAUAUCUGGUACUGUUAUAUUUUUAAUUAAAACCUAUCUAUUUCUUGAGAGAUUAAAAUAGUACUCAGGAGUAAGGUCGUAAUAUAUGUAGCAAGGAAGAGUAAAAUAUAAGAUCUUGGUAAAGAUUUGUGUUGGAUGGUCCUAGAAGAGCAAUGAGAAUUUAACAACUUGGAUAGAUAUUGAAAGGAAGGACUUCAAAGACAAAAUCUUGCUGAAAAUAUAGAAGGGAAGGGUGAUAAAAUAGUGUUAGUUGCGGCAAUGGUUGCCCUUCUUGGAGGCUACUCUUUGAGGGGAUCAGUGGUAAGUGAUAAAGAGGCAGUUUAAUUUAUCCAAGGUUCACUGAGGUAAAGGUAGGGCAUGUUUGUAAGGAACAGGCAAUUUAGAAGCUAGUAGUCGAGAAAAUGUGAGGGGGCUGGUUUGGUAUUACAGAAAUCAAAAUGCUCUUCGCUUUUCUAUGAAAUAGGAUAUAUCUGACAUUGCAGCAU
This 553-nucleotide long non-coding RNA is filed under the name Phoenix dactylifera (date palm). Its description in RNAcentral is "long non-coding RNA (PDAC_LNC021877)". The record is from RNAcentral. Lineage: Eukaryota; Viridiplantae; Streptophyta; Magnoliopsida; Arecales; Arecaceae.